This 73-nucleotide transfer RNA is filed under the name Ailuropoda melanoleuca (giant panda). It matches the Rfam family "tRNA". From Rfam's summary of the family: Transfer RNA (tRNA) molecules are approximately 80 nucleotides in length. The record is from Rfam by way of RNAcentral. Lineage: Eukaryota; Metazoa; Chordata; Mammalia; Carnivora; Ursidae.
UCCUGGCUGGCUCAGUCGGUAGAGCAUGUGACUCUUGAUCUCAGGGUCAUGAGUUCAAGCCCCACGCUGGGUA